RNAcentral lists this microRNA precursor (135 nucleotides) under Oryza brachyantha (malo sina). RNAcentral describes it as "MIR812 microRNA precursor family". It matches the Rfam family "MIR812 microRNA precursor family", at positions 35 to 171 of the family's 205-position model. The record is from Rfam by way of RNAcentral. Lineage: Eukaryota; Viridiplantae; Streptophyta; Magnoliopsida; Poales; Poaceae.
UGACUCUUCGUAUUAUUUGAUUUUUUAUGAUUAAUAUUUUUAUUGUUACUAGAUGAUAAAACAUGAAUGCUACUUUAUACAUGACUAAUUUUUUUUAAGGUUUUGUAUAAAUUUUUUAAAUAAGACGGAUGGUCA